AUCGCUCUUAGUAGGAUAACAUUGGGAGUCGUGCCUGCCCGGUGGGCUUUAAUGCCUAAACGGUUGCUGUUGAUAGCAGUACUAAGGUAGCACAAUAAAUUGUCCUUUAAUUGGGGAAUAGAAUGAAUGGCUUGACGUGGGAAAAACUGUCUUGGGUUUAGUUGUUGAAAUUUACUUUUGUGUGAAAAGGCGCAUAUUUGUUUAUUAGACGAGAAGACCCCAUCGAGCUUGAUAAGAAUUUGAACGCGGUUCUUAAUUUGAAGUUUAAUUGGGGUGAUUGAAUGCAGAAGUAACGCAUUUUUUUUAUUAGUAAUGAAGAUCCCCUUUUAGGGAGAAGGAGAAAAAGCUACCGUGGGGAUAACAGCGUAAUCCUUUUGGAGAGAUCUUAUUGAAGAAGGGUGUUGCGACCUCGAUGUUGAAUUAAGGUGUUACUUUGGCGCAGCCGUUGAAGUUGUGGGACUGUUCGUCCUUUAAAACCUU
This 480-nucleotide ribosomal RNA is filed under the name Bactronophorus thoracites. RNAcentral describes it as "partial 16S ribosomal RNA". It matches the Rfam family "Bacterial large subunit ribosomal RNA", at positions 1815 to 2597 of the family's 2925-position model. Lineage: Eukaryota; Metazoa; Mollusca; Bivalvia; Myida; Teredinidae. The record is from RNAcentral.